AUCACACUGAGCCCUCUGCUGCCCCACUCUUCCCCGUAUGCCACAGCAACAGUGGUGAUGGGAGGUCAAAUAAGAAGCAUUGCACACCAAUCCCUGCUGCCUUUAGCAAACAGUUUGUUAGAAAGGGGUGAAGGACGGGUUGAUAGGCUCUCCCUUAUCUUUUCUGGCUGUUGCUAAGAGCAGUGGCUCAAUGCAGGGUGAGUCAGUCAUGCAGAUUGCAUCGCUAAGUGUGCACUCAGCAAUGUACUCAGAGAACAGGGGAGGAAACAAUGGAAGUUAGACUUCAGGGAAGAUGCUUUUGGAAUAGAGACCAUGUGACAUAUCUACAGUUGGAAGAGAUAUGUAACUGAAUAACCCACCUAAGUGAAGAACAAAGCAGGUUAGAUACACUUAUGGUCUGAGCGAUCACAUGUAAAGUGACUGUAAAAAGUUUCUUUUUUCUCAUUCUCUCCUAUUAGAUGCCUUUGUAUUAUUACAGAUGUAUGCAUUCAGUUGAACUUACCCUUGAUAAGACUGAAUUGACCUAACUGUGGGCUCUUUUGUUUGUUUGGAGAACUGUGUCACAAAAUUCAGAGGAGCACAUAUUUUGAAGGGUAACUACAUUUUGGUUUGUAUAUUGAUCCAGCGAAUGCAAAUUAGGUAGUGUCACAUUAAAAUAUGAACUCAACAAAUCUAUCCCCUAUGACACUCACUACCAUAUGACAUUUACCAUUUCCAUGAACACAUUUGCUGUACCAUCUACAAAAAAUUCGGGUCUAUUUUAGGGGAAAUUCAUUUUCCAUACAGCACAUAAAUUUGCUGUAUGGAUAUGAUAUUGUGCAAUAGCUGUGUUAAAAUGAUAUAUAUGAUAUGUGACUUGCUAUCAAAUUUGACCUUAAAAUACAAUGUGAAGUGAAUUCUUUAAGGAAAGUAAAAGCAAAUUUUCAUCUAGCUAAUGAAAGUCUCCAAAUGGUUCUACAAAUCCCUAAUUCUCUUGCCCUCUCAAAUCUCUGAAUAUCCAUUCUAAAUAGUUUCCACUACCACAUUUUGGAAGAAGAUCUCAGAGGAUUUUACUAUAUCCCCAAAUUGCCAGUGGAUCUGGCCUAAAGAACAACUGGAGACAAAUCCUGCUUGGGAAAACAUCCAAGACAUUUGGAGUAUUAAACAUGGAAUUUUUUCAA
This is a non-coding RNA of Podarcis lilfordi (Lilford's wall lizard), 1160 nucleotides long. The record is from the annotation of a GenBank genome assembly. NCBI's taxonomy places the organism in Eukaryota, Metazoa, Chordata, Lepidosauria, Squamata, Lacertidae.